This 162-nucleotide ribosomal RNA is filed under the name Salmonella enterica subsp. enterica serovar Agona str. SA-5. RNAcentral's name for it is "partial 23S ribosomal RNA". It matches the Rfam family "Bacterial large subunit ribosomal RNA", at positions 2771 to 2925 of the family's 2925-position model. The record is from RNAcentral. Lineage: Bacteria; Pseudomonadati; Pseudomonadota; Gammaproteobacteria; Enterobacterales; Enterobacteriaceae.
CUGAAAGCAUCUAAGCACGAAACUUGCCCCGAGAUGAGUUCUCCCUGAGACUUUAGGUCUCCUGAAGGAACGUUGAAGACGACGACGUUGAUAGGCCGGGUGUGUAAGCGCAGCGAUGCGUUGAGCUAACCGGUACUAAUGAACCGUGAGGCUUAACCUUAC